RNAcentral lists this ribosomal RNA (497 nucleotides) under uncultured bacterium. RNAcentral's name for it is "partial 16S ribosomal RNA". It matches the Rfam family "Bacterial small subunit ribosomal RNA", at positions 28 to 507 of the family's 1533-position model. The record is from RNAcentral.
GACGAACGCUGGCGGCGUGCCUAAUACAUGCGAGUUGAGCGAUGAAGAUUGGUGCUUGCACCAAUUUGAAGAGCAGCGAACGGGUGAGUAACGCGUGGGGAAUCUGCCUUUGAGCGGGGGACAACAUUUGGAAACGAAUGCUAAUACCGCAUAACAACUUUAAACAUAAGUUUUAAGUUUGAAAGAUGCAAUUGCAUCACUCAAAGAUGAUCCCGCGUUGUAUUAGCUAGUUGGUGAGGUAAAGGCUCACCAAGGCGAUGAUACAUAGCCGACCUGAGAGGGUGAUCGGCCACAUUGGGACUGAGACACGGCCCAAACUCCUACGGGAGGCAGCAGUAGGGAAUCUUCGGCAAUGGACGAAAGUCUGACCGAGCAACGCCGCGGGAGUGAAGAAGGUUUUCGGAUCGUAAAACUCUGUUGGUAGAGAAGAACGUUGGUGAGAGUGGAAAGCUCAUCAAGUGACGGUAACUACACAGAAAGGGACGGCUAACUACGUG